CCUGGAAAAUAGAAAUCUAAUAAGUUUUAUAUCAAUAUAUCCAACACUAUAAGACAGCUCUCGAACAAUUUCCUAUGUAGUGUUCUCUUGUCAAGCUAGGCUUAGAAAACUGUAAAUAUGAACCACAUAUUACGUAAUACGUACACAGAUGGAGAUAACAUGUUAUAUUGUGAAUUAGAUGGAGAAAUGAUCAGGUUGAUCGUUGCAAAAAUGUUUCGUCCAGACUAAAUUUGGCAACAUAAGCAUCUUAUGUACAAAACAAAUCACCUGAAUUGAUUCAUAACUAUGUCCAAGAUCUUGAUAGAUAGUGCCCAAGCCUAAUGCAAUGGUAAUGUAGACAGCCAGGCGCAACCAGUAGUAGCCUCGAUCUCGAUACAUGUUCAUGAAGGAUCUUCUUGUAAGUACGAAAGAUUGUGUAAGAAAGCCAGCAUGGCUUCUCUUCUCCAAUUCUUCACCGAAAUCCUAAAUUUCAUAUAAAUUUAUGUUAGUCAUAGAUUUUGGCCCCUCCCAUGAUCCUGGGAAUCAACUACCAAUUGAAAGGAUAAAUAAUUGGAGCUAUAUAUGAAUCUGAUUACUAGCCUAUACCUGCUUACAUAGUUCAGCUACUUGUCUUUGAACUUGCUGAUAACUUUCAGAUUCUUUAUAGGACUUUAUUAGAGUAUCAAUCGCUACUUCUGUCGGUGUGCGUCCAACCAUGCCUUGUUCAAUGUCCUAAACAAUGAACAGUUUGGAUCAUGAGAUUACAUUUGGGAUGGGCUCAAACGAGUCAUUAAUUAGCACGGUAUUAAUUACUAACCAAUGAGCGCUUGAGCACUCUUGAUUACCACAUAAAGAGAAAAGUUCCAAUCAAAUACGACUAGGACUUUACCCCAAAAAAAAAAAAGGCUUACCUGCUCAAAAUCUUUGUUUAUAGUCUUAAGGAAGUGAUCUGAUGGAUUUUGGAGAGUUGGGCAAGGGAAACCACAUAAAGAGAAAAACUGCAAUCAAUUGAAAAUAACAGCAGUUAACCCUACAGCUACGGAUCCGAAUUUAGAAAUAUUAAGCUAGGGAAAUUAAGCUAGUCACCUGAUUUGCUGCAGAAGCAGGGCCAAAAUAGACAGUUCUUCCGGCGGACAGAAGGCAAAGAUUGUCGAAAAGUUGGAAGACUUCAGAGCUAGGUUGAUGGAUGGAUGUAAUUACAGUCCUUGGAGUUCCAUCAGUUUUAUCCAGGUUUGCAAUUCUGCUCAUGACAUAAUAAGAAGCUGCACUGUCAAGGCCACUUGUUGGUUCGUCGAGGAAGAGAAGAUUUGGGCGUGUAAGAAGCUCAAUGCAAAUGCUGACUCUCCUCUUUUGUCCACCACUGAGGCCUUUAGAUCCCCACCCUCCAAUCCUUGUGUUCAUGGCAUCUUGCAAACCCAUCUCUCUUAUUGUGAUUUCUGCUCUCUCUUUCUUCUCUGCCUUGGACAUGGAGUCUGGCAAUUGCAACUGAGCUGAGUAGUAUACGGCUUCGCUGACCGUUAAAGUUGUGAUCAAAGUAUCAUCUUGUGUAACAUAUGCCUGUGUUGAUGAUAUUUAAAUUAUGAAAAGAGAUAUUGAAAGCUUUAUAAAUUACUCGUAUUUAUAUCUUCAUUAAGCCAAAAGAGAAAGGAAUUAUGAUAUAUAGUUCUUGAUCUUCCUACCGAAGUUCCAUAUGCCAGUGCUUGUUUUUGCCCAUUGAUUAAGAUAUUCCCUGUUUUCCUUGUGUUUGAACUCAAUCUCCCUGCAGUAUCAUGAGCACUUGACUUAAAAUUAGACCUGUGCUUAGGGUUAAUCCACACUAUAUAUAAUUAAAGAGUAAUGCUAUGUAGACACACAAUAUUGACAACAUUAGCUGACCACCUUAGUGUCUUUAGUUUAGUAACCACACAUCUGUAUAUAAAUUGAAUUUUAAUUUUUUAUAUAUUUUUAUUUGUAACAAUUGUGGUUCACGAAAUUUCAACCCCACACAGAAAAUAUCUCCAAUAGGUUGAUUUUUCUAGCUAUUAUUGGACAAAUAAAACAACGUUAAAUUUCCUAUUUUGUUUUAUUCUAAAUUAUGUAGUAACUACAGUACACUAUGAUUUGUUAUUUUGUACACGUUUUAUGAUAGUAGACUUAAAGUCAUCUUUUGCUUCAAAAAGUAAAUAGAUAGCGAAAUCUUUCACUGAGUGUAUACUUCUUUGUGAUUGGCAUUCUCUUUCACAUCACCCAUCACCACGUGAGGAGAACACAAAUAGGUAUACACUCACAUGCCGUGACGUCUCCUCUCUCUCUCUCUCUCUCUCUCUCUCUCCAUUUCUAUUAGGGAUGGCAAUGAGUUUUAACAGUAAGUUUCAUAUUAAUUUAUCAUUCAACACAUCCAAAUUAACUAUAAAGUUCAACUCAACUAUUCAAAAUCACUUCAAUAUGAAAUUCCAAAUAAGAUUAGGAAGAAUUAGGAGAGGGAGGUUAACUUAGAAUUAAACAUAAAUAUUAUAAUUAUAUAUAUUUAUUUAAAUAUAAACAUAUAUAUUUUCGGGUCGGGUUCGGGAAUGGGGACGCCAAUACCAUCCCCUCCCCCAUACCCAUCGAGGAUUUUUCAAGUUUGGAGAUUCCUGUACCCGAUACCCAUUUGGCCUCGAAAUCUCCCCCUGUUAGGGUAGGGGACUCGGCCCUUCAGGGAUUUUUGUCAUCCCUAAUUUCUAUAAACAAGCCUAUUCUAGUAGCUAAUCCAUAUCAGGGGCGGCCUGGCAUGGUACAAGUGGCGCCACUGCACAAGAUCCCCGAAUUUUUUUUAGUUUAUAUUAUAUAUAUUAAUAUUAUUAAAAUUAUAUAUAUUCUAGCGGGCAACACAUUGACACAUAAGUGUAUUUGGUUGUGUUGGUUUUUAUAGAAUAGUACCAAGCCCAGAUUUGAGUCUUAGUCAAUCUAUUUGUAUUUUCACAUUAGAUUAUAUGAGGACUCCAGUUUAAGUUUCGCAUAGGGCCCUCAAAAUCUCAUAAUCAACCCUGAUCCAUAUGCAUGAUUUUUCUAUUUUUAUUCUCAUGUCGGUGAAAACCAAAAUUUUGCUAACUAAUUAUUAAGUAAGAGUGUAUGAAUUGUUACCUCCUAAAGCAUCAAGAAGAGUAGACUUGCCACAGCCAGAAGGACCCAUUAUAGCCAAGAGCUCCCCAGGCCUGGCAUAACCAGUUACACCUUGGAGGAUUGAUCUUGAUCUGCUACCAUUUUCAUUCUUUGCCUUAGAAACCACAGUCACCCACAAAUCCUCCCACGUCAAGAAAACACCCUCUUCUAACUUCGGAUAGUUUUCGUUCUGGUUUCGGUUUCGAGCAGCACCCGUCCCUGACCUAGUUACAGUUGUAGUUCUAGGCAGUGGAUCAUUAUGGCCUACUGUUUCAACCUCCAGUACUGCUGUUCUAAUAUCAGCUGAUUCAUUACUAUAACUAUAUUCAUGUAGCGAGGUAGACGAAGCCAUAUAGCUAGGAAUUCAAUUUCACAGAGAGAGAGAGAGAGAGAGAGAGAGAGAGAGAGAGAGGUUUGGUUUAGUUUCUUGUUGGUGAAGUGCUUAAGGAGGAUCGAGGCCGGGUAUUUAAAGAAGCUUAAAGAGCAAUUAAACGUGAUUUACAUGAUUACAUAUUACUAAUAAAUGCAAAAGGACAAGAGUAGUUCGUAGAAUAACAGAAUAACAACGUCCACUCGUUGGCUAGUACCACACGACACCUAAAUUGGGAAGAAGUCAAGCAUUUUUUAAUGCAGAACUUUCAUUAUUCAACUUAAAUUUUUAAAUAAAUAAAAAACCAAAGCACUAGGAGCAGGGUGGACCUAUUAAGGCGUAAGAAGGUGCAGCUGCACCUUCCCUCGCCAGAAAAAGUAAAUGUCUUUGUCCUUUUACUUUUAUUUAUUUUUAUAUUACUCCAUUUACUUAAGUUUACAAUGUAAAUAAGGAAGUACCCCCCAUUUGGAUUCAAAUAAAAAUACUAGAAAAUCAAAUUCCCACCAAAUCAAAAUAUGAAAAUUCGGUUUUAGUGCAAAAUACGAUUUAGGCUAAAUAUGAUGGCUCAUUAAGUCAAUAUAUACUUUAUACUAAAAUCCUAUAAAAUCAAGUUUACUUAUUUGAUGUAUAAGGAAUAAAAGCCGCUAAAAAUUAUCUUGAGAAAAUGAUUAUUCUGAAAAACUAUUUUUCAUACUUAGUCAAUAUUGCACCUCCACUAAAAAAUUUCUGAGUCCGCCAGUGACUAGGAGUUCAUCUUUUUAAUAUAAAAUAAAUUAUUAGUCUAAUUAGUUAGUUGUUUAUCUUUUUUAUUAUCAUAACAAUAUAAGGUUAUUAUUUGAGAAUCACUUUGAGAGUGAUUUUAAGUAGGCCAAUAAUCAUUUUUUGGGAGAUACAUUUUGUCAUUUAAUUACUAUUAAGUGAUUUUAAGUGAUUUUAUAGAAUAGAAUCGCUUAGUAUGUGAAAGAUGCUUCUUUUUAUAAGUAAUUCUGACCAUCCUAUAAUCACUUCCAAACCAACCGUGAUAUAGUUUAUAGUAACAAAGAUUAAUCCAUGGGAAAUGGUCUUAGCUUAAGUUGUGAGAGUGGGUGUUAAAAUUAGAUAGGAUUAGAGAUUAAAUAAUUUUAAUAUUAUAUAAUUACUGUUUGAGCUUAAGUAAAUAUACUUUAAUAAAGGUAUAUUUUUAGGACAAUAAGUAUGCCAAAUUGAGCAAUUAUUCAUUAAACUAUUGUCGUUUGUAUGAACAAAUAAAUAUAUAAAACUAGUUCAUCAAUUCGAUUGGUAUUCUUGCUCAAGUGGUAGAAAAACAAAUAACACUUUUCUCAUCCCAGAUAGUCACACAUUAUAAUUGUAGGGGACCGAGAGAGAUAAACUUAGAGUGCUGUUAAACGAACUCUAAAAUUAAUUGAGUACACCUUAUAAUCUAAGUUAACUCUAAAAUUUUAAUCAAAAUGUAAAAUUAACUAAGUACACCCUAUUUAACUACCAAAAAUAGCCCUAGUAUAACACUCUAAUACCAAUCCUAAACCAGGUUUCUCUUUUUACAUGAAUCUGUGCCCUCUUUUCAGAUUUUGGGUUUCAUCAAAAUCUUUAAUUUCGUAAUACUAAUCCUAAACUAGUACUCGCUGAGUUAUUCGUGAGUACCAAGCAAUACGAAGACUUUUCUAUGUCUGAUAAGGGUUGAAUAUAGUGAGUAAGGUGUACUUAUUAAAAUUUUAUUUAUUUCACAAUUCAAUAUAUCCUUUUUGGUCAUUUUAUAUUAGGAUAAAUUAGUAAUUCAAUAAAUAGUUUGGUAGUAGAGUUACUAAGUUAAUUUUAGGAUUCGUUUAGUAGCACUCUAAACUUAUAGUCAUUCGACAUUAUGAACCUGCGAUGGACUUAUCCAAUAUAGGUCCCUACAUUUUCUAUUUUCUAUACAUAUAUCCAUCACUAUAUAAAUCUAUGUAUAUAGUCUAAUUUCAAACUUAAAUGACCAGUAGGAUAUAAGAGGUAAUAGUAUUCCUAUGUUUUUACAUAGUUGCCACCAGACUUCAUAUUUUAUUUAUAAUUUAUUUCAAUCAUUUCAUUAACUGCCAUAAUUGUAAUUAAUACUCCCUAUUAAUAGCAUACCAAUCACCCCAUUUAUUUUAGUUGUCAUUCCCUCUAACAUAUCGCCCCCUAAAAUUGCAAACAAAAAAAAAUCUGUAAAUUACAUAUUCAAUAAUAUACCUAUUAAAAAUAAAAAUAAAAAUAUAUACGUAUAAAAAUAUAGGUAUAUUAUUUACCAAAAAUAUUAAAUAACAACUAGGUUAGUCACUUUGUAAUUGAAAUUUCCGUACAUUUUUUAUAAAUUAAAAUAGGUACACAAUAAUUUAUAGAAAAUAGGUACAAUAUUAGAGAAAAAAAAAGGGUACAUUAUGUAGAUAAAAAAAUAGGUUCAUUAAAAAAAAAAAGUUUUUCAUAAAACAAACAAUAAAUAGAUUAUCAAAUUAUUUUUUAACAUAAUUAGAAUGUACACUAUUAUUCAUAAAACUAUAAUAAAAUAGAUUACUAAUUGUAUAAUUCAUAAAAGAAAAACAACAUAAUUUUUUUAUUAAAUAAACCAAAACGUUAAUCACAUAUAAAUUACUAAUACGGUAAUGCUGAAUUUAAUAUUUAAUUUCGAAUAAGUUUCUAAAUUAAUUCCUACAUCCAUUACAACUAUUUGGAGAUCUUUUCAAAUUGAACGUGUGUGUCAUUAGUUACACCUCUCACAUAACACGUUAACUUGUAAAUAUGGGUAGUUUUGGAAUUUGAUAAAUAUAAUAAAUCAAAUUUUAAGCUAGAUUAGAUAACUUGCUUACUUGGAUUCUUAUUUGAAAAAAUUGAAUAUUUAAAUAGAAAUUAAAAAAAGAAUUGUAGGUGGACACCAAACCUUCUCGUACAUUUUAAACCUUGCAAACUUUUGACCGAGUCUACCUACGGACAAUCAAAAUCAACAAAAUAUCUGCACCUCUUCAUGGACACCAAACAAGUAUCAAUCUGUUGAAAUCCACCCUCACAUCUUCAUGGACAAAAAAUGUCGACUCACACACACUAACUGGCCACCAUAUAAACAGAUUGUCAGCACAAUGUGUGGUAGGAGUUAGAGAGCCACAGUGGCCCCUACAUUUGCGCCAUUUUGUUCUUGGCCCUACAAGUUCAAAAUACGCCAUAGUAGGAAAGAUGACACCUCAUGGGCAGCCGCCUAGGGCCACUAAAUUGGGAGGAACUCUAAUUUUUAUGAACUCUAUAUAUAUACUAUACUACUUUAUAAUAAUAAAUAGUUAUAUAUAUAAAAACUAUAUUAUGCCUAAUUAUUCAAUAUUCCAAAAUAAAGAAUCACGCAAAUAAAAAGAGACUCAGCUAACGGACCUAAUCGAGUAGAAAAGAAUGUUGAAUUACAGAUUAGUUAUCUUAAGUUCAUAUUCUCAAUUCUCAUGUACUUUAGUAAGAUGUGUGAAAAAAAUUCCCUCCUCCUUUAUAACUUCGGCAAAACAAAGGCCCAAUUGUUCAUUAAAUUCAUAGUCUAAAUCAAUUAAUCUAGUACAUUUAAGAAAUAAAACACAUCUAUGUCAAGUUCUAAUAUCUGAACUCUUCAACAACAAACACUUAUUGACUUCACCCAUUUUUUCUCAAUAAUUCAAUCAACAUUGAAGUCCUAAUAGUUUAACAUGCAUGAUGAUUGACCAUUUAAAAAAAAAAUCAAUAUGAUGUUUUUUUCUUUCUCUUUUAUUAAUUUUAUGCAUAUAAAGAAUAGGGAUUUGGGAAAUAAAUUUAAAAUUUACAAAUGCUUGGUUAAGAUUCUCAUUUUUGAAGAAGUUUCUUGUCGAUAUGGGUAACUAAGUAUGUCGUACUAGAAUUUGAUAUAUUUGAUAAAGAAUUUCACUAAAAAUUUCCCCCUUCUUGUUGAGUUGCAGUGUGGAUUAUAUGUUGUUUGUUAAUUUUUUAUUAUUAUCUUACAAUCUUCAAAUUGAGGUCAUAAAUAUUUUUUUCAAAGUAAGAACAUAAAAAAGAAUAAAAUACAUGAGUAUCGUACAUAGAGGAUCGAGGGCCACAAUUUUGUGGUUUACCCAGGGCCUUCAACUUCGUAGGGACACCCAUACGUGAACAUAUAAGAAAUUUCUCAUUUCUUACGCCAGCGAUGUGCGACUAUAUAUACGUCAUGUUCAAUGUGUAACACACCACAUGUUAUGUUCAAUGUAUAACACACCACAUGUCAUGUUCAAUGUGCAACACACCACAUGUAAUGUUCAAUGUGUUAGGUAUCUCACAAUAAAUAGGUGAAUGAAUGUGUUUUGGGGUCAACCCACAUGACUUCUCUGAAUCUCCAAAGCAUAACCUGGGGCCACACACUUCUCUUUAGGGUGUUAAGACCACCAGGCCACUUAGGCUUCCAAAUACACAUAUGUGAUUAUAUAAUAAUUAUUUAGGACAUAUUCACAUUUUGGGGGAACACUAUCAGGUUGUGUAAACUCUCCCCCAGUCUCUCCCACAGUCUUUGAUUUCUCCAUUCGAGAAUCUUUGUGUGUUUUGUAGAUCAAUAGAGCAAAAAAGCAUAAUUCAUGCAAUUCAAGCAUGUUAAGACCUGAUUUGGAUGAAUGGAAGAAGAGCUUAAAGACAAAUCCAAUAUGAGUUACACUCCCUUGUUAGUCUAGUUUCGUAUGUCACAUUGCAGGCCUUAUUUCAGCAAUCUACACAGCUCAAAUGAGGAGACAUUCUCAAGUAAAGUUGGUCCAAUGGGUCUCUACUACAACAUAUCCAAAAUGGAGCCUAAUUGGAAGUAUAUGGAGUCCUCUGCCCACUAAACACUGAAUCGUGCUCAGGAGGAAUUUUGUCUGCGCAAUUUAUUUCGGCCUUAACUUCUUCCUUCGACCUUGGAUUGGCCUAAAUGACAUGUUGUUGGAAAGAUGACAUUCUAAACUUCAAGAUGGAGUGCUCAAAGUCGUCAUUUGCUUAAGGAAAUCCUAAUUCGUGAGCCCUUGAAGUUGCUGGUCAUGCUAAUCUAAGGAUGAGCUAAGUGUGCUUGGUCAUUCUAACCUAAGCAUGAGGUAUUAUUGAUGGUGAGGAAGUUAGGUGAAGCAGAUUCGUUGCUUAGAAUUGGAGUGGAGUUUUGCAAUAGCUAAAAGAAAUAAAAGAAGAUGAAGUGGGAGUUGCAGCACUAAGCCUAAAGAGAAGAUAAAUUGUUUUCCAAUGCAAUUGUGUGGUAGGUGAAGUGGGUGUGGUUGGUGAACUCAAUAUCCAAAUCAGAAUUUCUACUCACCUUAACCCUAUAAAUAGAGAGUCUUCAAGGAGCUGGGAAGUCAAAAAUUCAGAUAUUCAUUCAUAUUUCAUCACACUGUACACAAAGAGAGGGAGAGUUGAGAGUCACAAAGGGAGAGAAAAGCCAUGGGGAUGAAGUUGUUCCAUCUCUAGCAUGUUGUCCCCAUCUUCUUCUCCUCCCUUUGUCUUUUAUUUUCGUCUUGUAUUUCCUUAGUUUUACUUUGUUUUAAUAAACACCAAGAUGAUUUUAAGUUUUUGAAGUUUGAUUGGUUUCCAAGUUUCAAUUUUAGUUAUUGUUCUUAUUCAUUACGCUUAUCAGUUGAUAUCCUUGUUUGAAUGUUUGAUCACCAUUUAAACUUGUAUGUUACCUAUCUUGGCUGGAAUUAAGAGUAGACAUCAUAUGCCUUAAUUCCAAUUGAACUAUGAAUAGGAAGAGUGUGUAUGGACAUUCAACAAUAUGGAUUAGAUACAUACUUGGGUGUUUAAAACGUUCUUCUAUACUUAAUGGAUUUCUAUUGCUUAAUUUACGUUCGACAACAAGGAUCUAAUUAGGGAAUUAUGAAGACAAGGUUUAGACCAGACACCAAGGCUAAAUUAUACAUUAGAGAGAUUCAAUCUUUUUACUUGAAUUGAACUUGUUAACUUGAUUACUUGAGACUUAGAAUUGUAUUGUUCCCUAUCUCUUUGCAAUCUUUAAGCUUAGUUUCCAUUUCUGUUUUGUGCAGGGAAUCGAAUUGAAUCAAUUUAUCAUCAAUCCUCGUGGGAUCCGUUGUAAUAACCCAAACCUUAAUUAAUAUUCAAUUAUUAAACUAUUAAGAGGAAAGGACAAUUUUGCCCUUAGAAUAACUUAUUAAGGGAAAAGUUGACUUUUUGACAGAGAAAGAAUUAGACAAUUCCACAUGCACCGUUGUGUAGAGAGCGACGAAACGAGUCCAUAGACACGUAGUGGGCUUGAAUCGGAGUUAUAACGAAGAAAAUACGGUCAAAAUACGUAGAGGGGUAAAAUGGUAAUUUUUGUAACCAGAAAUUUUAAACCCUCCUUUCUCUCUCUCCUGUCGCAUAGAACACCCCCUCCCCUUCGAAAAUUCAGCUCCAGCCGAACCCUUCCCUCCACCCUAGCCUCUGCCACUGACCACCCCAAGCUGCAAGAUCGGAGCCAAAACGAUUGGCCAAGCCAUGCCAUCAACCUCAGCCCACCCUGACGCCAGUCGCCGCCAUGGUGCUGCCGGAAACCACCAAAAUCGCCCUGGAUUUGGGUCGAUUUUUCACAGCUUCAUUCUCUCUCAUUUAGCCACCAAAUCGGAUGAUCAAGGUAUGGGUUCUUAGCUAUUUUUCGUGACCUAGCAGUUGGUUGGGUAGGAUCUCAGAAAUUUCUAGUGUAGAUACCUUGAUUUUCAAGUUAGGUUUCAGUCGAUUUUGAGAGCAUGAUUUCAGGCACUUUUAGCCACUUUUCGGGAUAGGUCUAAGAACAAAAGUGGUUUCCAAUAGGGUGUUUUACCUAAGGUAAGAGUUUGGGCCAGCGAUUUGGAGUUUUUCCAACCGCCAGAAAUUUAUCAAGCCACCCAAGCGCUGCCGGUGCUUGGGCAGUUUAGUGGGGACCACAUUUAGUCCUACAAUAAUCCUCGUGUUGUCACGAGCGCGUAGGAAUUCACAGAUCUAAAUUCGGAUAACGUUUGAACCCCGAACGGAUCUCGCAUAUUGUAUGAUUUCCGAGUUCAAUAUAUUUGAGCCGACGGAUCGUAGUCAUUUUCAGAUAUGUUAAUCUAGACAAUUCUAGGAUCGUUUAGGAUUCAACGGAUAGUGAAUCGGAGUCCCGGAUACUCUGAAAUUGUGAACCCUAGGGUUGAGAUUUUAGGAACCGCUUGAUCGUGACCAAUCCAACCGUCCAAUCAAGACCAGACUCACAGGACAUGUGUCCUAAGUAUAAAGGGAUGUUAAUGUGGGCAUAGGAAUGACUUUAAUUUGAUGCACGACUUCUAGGAUCCAGGGGUCAGGGUUUUUAUGUAAUUAUUAUAUUGAGUAAAUAUAUUAAUAUAAUAGUAUGAUAAUUGAAUCAGGCACCCGAGCGCCAGUUGACCCUCAGGAGGGACCUUCAAAAUGUCCAGCGAGCUCGGACUAACUGUGAGUGGACUCUUUGUUUUCAUAAAUGAAUUUAUGCAAUUCAGUUAUAAGAUUUGAUCUUGAAUAAGUUUUAUUUAAAGAUUAGUGCUUUCAUAAUUUGAUAUGUGCUUUUAAAUAUUUUAAGUUAUAUGCUGCCAAGUGAGAUAUUCUUUGAGGAUAUAGAAAAAGAAAUUUUAGCUAAAUAACAGAUAAAUGGCAGCAGAGUUUUAGAUUGAAUAGAAAUUCAGUUAUUCAUCAUAUUUUUCAGAAAGUUUAUAUUUUCUUAAGCCACCUUAGGUACCCAAAUAUAAAUAUGUUGCCUUUGGAUAAAUUGGUUGCCUUCAGUAUUGCCUUUCGGAUUUUACUAGUUACCUUCGCACUACUACAAAAAAGCAAAAAGACGACGGUAAAUCACCGUCGUGUAUUGGAUUUUUCAAUGGUCGUGGAAUCCACCGUCAUCUUUUCCCUCAUAAACCACGACGCUAAAUAACCGUCGUUGUUAAAAUAUACAACGUCAUCAACAAAUACAAAACGACGUCUUUGUACUGCAAAAAGAUCUAAAAAAAGCAAUCAAGGAUGAUAAUAGACGACCAACUCUCUAAAAAAACCGUCGUUAAAAAGGAAAAAUAUGACACAGAACAAGGCCGCAAGAUAGACAUACAACGAUGAAAAUACAAAUACGACGACGUUAAAUAUAAUUUUCACGACAAUAAAAAAUAUGACGUCUUUAAAUACAUUAGAAGACGACGUUAUUGAUACCUACUACGUCGCAUAUAUAAAAACAACUGUCGUAAAAUUAAUUUUCCACUACGAUUUUUCGAUAAAAGAUGACGUGGAAAUAGUUGUCAGUGUCAUUAUUUACGACGUAUAUGUUAAUAGAGUAGACGUUGAAAAACUAAACAACGUCGGUAACAAAUAUAUGAGAGUCGUAUUACAAAAUUUAUACGUCCUAUUUUCAGAAACAAACAACGACGAUAAAUAUUAGACGUUGUUAAAUAAAACAACGUCGGAAAAAAAUAAAAACAGACGUGUUUAGUCUGCUAAAGUUCUAGAAAAUAGUCGAGGAUGAGAAUAGACGACCAACUCAAAAAAAUCACUGUCGUUAAAAAGGAAAAAUAUGACACAUAUUAAAAGAACAAGGCCGCAAGAUAUACAUACAACGACGACAACUAAAAUACUACGCCGUUAAAUAUAAUUUACCCGACAAGAAAAAAUAUGACGUCUUUAAAUACAUGAGAAGACGACGUUAUUGAAAUCUACAACGUCUCUUAUUUACAAAAAACCGUCGUGAAAUAAAUUUUCCACUUCGAUUUUUCUAAAAAGGAUGACGUGGAAAUAGUUGUCAGUGUCAUUAUUUACGACGUAUACAUUUAUAUAGUCGACGUUGUAUUUAUAUGUAUUCAUUACUCACGACGCACUUAAUAAUAUAGACGACGUUGAACUUCUAAACAACGUCGGUUCCAAAUAAAUGAGAGCCGUAUUACAGAACAUAUAGACGGCGUAGAUUAUGAUGAGAGCCGUAUUACAAAUAACGUCGUUUAAUUGUUAUUAGACGGCGGUUAUAAUGAAUUUCCGUCGGAAUUCAUUUCGUUCCUCUUCGUUUAUAAAAGAACUUGCGACGUGGAAAAUGUAUGAUGACGUCGUAUUUUUUAACGUUCAGAUUAUAUAUCUCGUUUUUUAGACGUCGGUAUUAUGGGAUUGGAGUCGUGUUAUUCUGAAUUACAUGGCGGUUCUUAAUCCUUCACCGACGUGAUAUCCUGAAUAAUUGCUUCACAAUAGCGUCGUGGUUCUUCAUUGUUACGUUGCUUUAAGACGUCGGUAAAUAUGCUGAAUAACUGAUUCACAAUAACGUCGUGUUUUAUUUGAACGUAGAAAGUGAAGAAAUCACAUUACAAUAUAUUACAAAAUUAAUGUCAUACACUGCCAAUUACAUAAGCAUCAUUCAAUCCAUAUAUCUUCACACCCAUCUCGAAUAUUUUGACCGCCUAACUCACCUACCAGUUCAUCAAAUGUGUCAACAUUUGGCAUCCCUCUAGUAAAUGGCUCACACUCAAUUACCACAUCACCUAAUACUUCAUCACCAAUAACAUCAUUAUAUUCUCUAUUAGGCAUUGAUAACACUACCGACCAACCACGAUGCAUCGGGUCGUCAACAAAAAAUAUUUGUUUGACUUGAGAAGCCAAAACAAAUUGGUCAUUCCUAUGUCCAAUUUUACUCAAAUCUACAAGGGUAAAUCCAAGUUCGUCGACUACAAGACCAGAACUAUCUAUCCAAUCACACCUAAAGACUGGGAUUGUAAACUUUUGGUAGUCAAGGUCCCAAAUUUCUUGAAUGACACCAUAGAAACCCAUAUUUGAGAGAAUUGAGUUUUUAUCCUUGGCACUAGCAACUUGCAUGGUAUGUGCAAGUAAAUAAACUCCACUAUUUUGAGUUGUCCGCACAUCAUCUUGUGCCUUGAUAUUGAAUUUAAUACCUUUAAUAAGAUAGCUCCUAUAUAAUGGCACUGACAUGUUUGGACCAGCUGCUAGCCACCUUAAAUUUUCUGAUACGCCAUGAUUGUCUUCCUCAAGUUCACUUUGAACCUGCAAAUUAAUCAUAUCUUAAUUCAAUCUAACAUAUAAAUAAGAAGAAAAUUAAAAGAGAAAUAUGUUAUUCAACAAUAUAUACCUUGAAGCGUAGCCAUUGAAUGAAAGUGCUAUUGUGCUUAUCCUGCAGCCACUUUGUUCUCUUUCUAAAUUUUGGAUAAGCAGUCUUGAUGUGAAUCAUAUGUUGCCUACAUGACACGAAAAAUUCAAGCAUUACCGUCCUAAAUAUAGAAGAUAAACAUAAGAAAUAAUUUAAAAUGGAAACUUAAAGAAUAAAGCUCAUACGUACUCGAUAUAAGGUAGGACUUCCUCCGUAUUCUCCAAGACAUAUAGAUGUGCUUGAUUCAACAGGUCCUGAUCAACUACGCUCACUGUGCAACCUGAUAAUGGCUUUGAAAGUCCCAUCUUUUGGCUUGAAGGCACUCCAACUGUACUAACAUAAGAUAAAUGCUGAGUACAACACUCUACCGCUUCUUCAGCUAUAUACCGCUCAGCAAUGCAACCUUCGGGACGAGUACGAUUCUGAACAUACCCCUUCAGCACUUUCAUAUAUCUUUCAAACGGAUACAUCCACCUAAAAUAUACUGGCCCACAUAGACGAACUUCUCUGACAAGAUGUACUACUAGAUGAACCAUGAUAUCAAAGAAUGAAGGGGGAAAGUACUUCUCAAGCAAACACAGAGUAACUACUACAUCUUCUUCCAACUUAUCUAGCUUGGAAACAUCAACAGUCUUUGCACAUAUAGCAUUGAAGAAGAAGCACAAACGAGUUAUUGCAUACCUUGCAGGCUUCUCCAAAACAGAACGAAUUGCCACAGGGAGCAAUUGUUGCAUUAAGGUAUGACAAUCAUGUGAUUUAAGGCCAAGAAGUCUUGAAUCUUGUAAAGAUACAAGAUUUUUAAUAUUUGAAGAAUAACCUUCAGGGACCUUCAUACCAUAGAAAGAAUUGCAAACCUCUCUCUUCUCUGCUCUUGACAAAUUCCAAGGCCCAGGAGGCAAACGAGUACGUCUUUCUCCAUACUCGGGUUGCAAAUCAGUUUUGACCCCCAUGUUCAAUAAAUCUAAUCGAGCAGCAAUCCCAUCUUUAUUUUUUUCAGGGAUCUCCAGCAAUGUACCAAUAAUACUAUCGCAAACAUUCUUCUCAAUGUGCAUAACAUCUAGGGCAUGCCUCACAGGAAGGUAUUUCCAAUACUCGAGAUCAAAGAAUAUUGAUUUCUUCUUCCAACAAACUCUGUCACCAUUUUCAACCAUAUGCAGCACUUCUUCUCCGGUUAAUGGCUCGGGAGGUAUGCCAUAUUCAAGUUUCCCAUUAAAAGCUGCACGUUGCCUCCUAUAUGGAUGAUUGAUUGGUAACCAUUUUCUAUGCCCAAUGUAACAAAUUUUGUGGCCAUUUUUCAACCUGUGACUAGGUGUAUCAUCGCCGCAUAUUGGACAAGCUUUAUAUCCUUUAACAACACAACCAGAUAAGUUUCCAUAGGCGGGAAAAUCAUUAAUUGUCCACAUUAAUGCAGCUCUGAGUGUAAAGUAUUCUCCAUUAUGUGCAUCAUACACUCCUCUAAUCCCAUCCCACAAAGAUUUUAAAUCAUCAAUCAAAGGCUCCAAGUAGACGUCUAUAUCAUUUCUGGGUUGUUUAGGACCGGAAAUCAAUAAGGUUAACAUCAUGAACUUUCGUUUCAUGCACAGCCAUGGAGGGAGAUUAUAUUAACUAAGAUAACCGGCUAACAACUAUAUCUGCUACUUAGAGAACUGUGGGGAUUGAAUCCAUCAGAUGAAAGAGCCAAUCUCAAGUUUCUCGGCUCAUUACCAAACUCAGGCCAUUUAUCAUCAAGAAGUUUCCAAGACGGGGAAUCCGCCGGAUGAGACAUCUGACCGUCAAUUGAUUUUCUAGCAGCAUGCCAAGUCAAACUCUUAGCUGUCUCAUGUGAUUGAAACAUCCUUUUAAACCUUGGAAUUGGAGGAAAAUACCACACCACCUUCGCUGGCACACCCUCUUUCAAGAUUGAAUCUUUGCCUUCCUUCCACCUUGAGAUACCACAAGUAGGACAAUUAGUUGAAUUGUCAUACUCCUUCCUAUACAAGAUGCAAUCAUUGGGGCAUGCGUGCAUUUUCUCAUAACUCAGCCCCAAUGCACACAAAGUCUUUUUAGCCUCAUACAUAGAGGUUGGUAUUGUAUUUCCUUCUGGAAGCAAAUCGCCUUGAAGUAUCAAUAAUUCUGUAAAACAGACAUCACUCAUCCCAUGUUUUGCCUUCAAAUUAUACAACUUCACUAAUGCCGAUAACUUCGUGUACUUUCUACAACCAGGGUACACUGGUUGAUCUCCAUCCCCAAUCACAUUGGCAAACUCAUACGGAUCGGAACCAAAAUCAUUAUCAUCCAUAUCAAUUUCUUCAGACACAAAACUGUACCUACUAUGGCCAUCAUCUUCUUCAACAUUUCUACUAGCAUUAGUAGUUGCUUCCCAAGGUUCUCCGUGAAAUGUCCAAUUCUUAUAGCUUUGGUCAAUUCCAUUAAAGUAUAAGUGAUCCCUUAUAAUUCCAACCCCAAACAACUUCAAAUUAACACAUUUAACACAUGGACAACGGAUAUGUGUUGUAGUUAGAAGAUUUUCUACAGCAAAGUUCAAAAAUGCUUCCACCCCAAACUCAUAUGCCUUCGAUCUUCUAUCCGAGUGCAUCCAUGACUUAUCCAUCUCCGACACUAUAACCUAUUAUAUAUAAUAAAGUGAAAAUACAGGCAAUGACCAUCACUAUAGCAGAUUAUACAAAGAUCUAAUAGCAAGUAAUACACAACAGAGACGACGGGUUUUAAACAAAAACAGACGUAUUUGGCAUAUAUAGACGACGGAUUUUCAACAGACGUCGUCUAAUAUAAGUAAUACAAACGACGGUUUAUGAAAACACCGUCGUGUAUAAUUAAUACAACGACGGUUUUUUCAUAAACCGUCGUGUAAUCGUCGUCGUAUGCCUAAAAAGGCAUCGUGUCUCAGUUUAUUUUCAAGAACCCAAAACCCAUUAAGAACACAACAUAUAUAUGAAACCAAGCAAGAAAACAACAUAUACAUGAAACCAAGCAUGAAAACAAUAAAUCCAUUCCCAAUUCAACAUAACAUAGGGUGAUUAAAAGAUCCGACAAAAUUAAAUCCAUUCCCAAUUCAACAUAACAGAUAAUGUAAUCCAUGAACCCAUUAAACAGAAAAUCCAUGAACCCAUACUUAUAAGCACAUUAUUAACAGAUCACAAAGCAUAUACCUAAAACCCUUUAACAAAACAACCUAAUAUCAUUCAAUGAAUUUACAAGGGGAAGAUAGGGUUUGUACUUACAGGUUGGACGAGCUCACAGAUUCGACGGAGCAGAAGUGACAGAGCAACUUUUAAUUAGAGCAGAAGUGAGAGAGCGAAAUGUUAUGUUGCACGAAAUCUGAAAAUUUUAGGGUUCAGGGUUAGAAGAAUAAGAAUAAGAGCCAAAUAUAAAAAAAUUUAGGACGCGCGAAAAUUUUUAGAGCGCGCGCUCUUUAAAACGUCGAAAGAAAAACCAUGACGAAAGUUCUACAAGAACCGACGUAAAUGUAAUAUUCAACGACGGAAACACUGAACGUAACGCCGUUUAUUUUGACGCUUCAUUUUUUGGAUUAAUUUUAAAUUUAUUUUCAAUAUUUUGAUAUAAAGACGACUGAAAAACCACGUCGGGGUUAAGAAAUUGAAAACGUUGUAAAUAAUAAUACACGACUUACAUAUUAAAAUGACGUCGUUUAACGCAGAAACCAUGUCGGAUAAUUUACUGGACGACGUAACAUAUGUAUUCCACGACUCAACCACCGUCGUUAAUAAUUAAUACCCUAAACCCUUAAAACUAAAUUAUAUAAUUUUAAAAAUUAAGUUUAUAAAAGGGUUUAUGGUUUUACAGCCUAAUAUAUACCCUAGACUACCCAAAAAUUAUACUUUAAAAAUAAACCCCAAUAAAUAACAACCCUAAUCUCUAAACCCUAGACUCUAAACCCUAAACCAUAAAACUAGAAGUGAUUUUAUGACUCAUCAAAACAAUUUUGUUUUGGAUGUUCAUUUUAAAUUUUUGUUAUUCAAAAUGAAUUUUUUCAAGCUUUAGGGGGAAGAAAAUAUAUCAAUGACUUCAUAGGAGUUGACUUUGCAUUUUUCUGAUUUAUUUUAAAUUUAUUUUGAAUAUUUUGAUAUAAAAAUAAUAAAAUAUUCUUAUCACAACAACAAACCACGUCGGUGUUAAUAAAUUGUAGACGUUGUAAAUUGUAAGAGACGACUAAGUUGUUAAAAUGACGUCGUUUAAAUGAGAAACGAUGGCGGAUAUUUAACUAUCCGACGUAAAAUAUAUAUUCCUCGACUUAACCGCUGUCGUUACAAAGUACUACCCUGAACCCUUAAGAAAUUGAAGACGUUGUAAACCAUAAACGACUCCAUUGUUCAAAGAACGUCGUCUAAAUAUCCUUUUACGUCGGAUUUGUUUAAAACGAAACCACAAAAAACGACGGCUUUUGACUUUAUUACGUCGUUGGAAAAUUAUUACACGUCGGUAACGUAUUUUGUAUGUUUGUUUUUGUUUUUACUUUAAGAAAACCUCAACAAAUUUUUACAUUAUAUAUUAUAGACAAAAUUUGUACAUUAUACAUAAAUAUCAAGUGUUCAAUAAUUCCCCUAUUUAAGUUGAAGGCAAACAAACUCUGCCCAUUCAUUCCGGACUUCAUCAAUUGCUUCUUGGGGGUAUGGCUCUUCCUGUUUUCCCUUCGCAUACUGCAUAAAAACAAUGACUAUUAGGGUUUAUAAAUAAAAGGAAAUUCAAUCACAGACGACCAUAACCGACGUAGUAUAUCUAUUCAACGACGGUAAUUUUACAUGACCGUCGUUGAUAAUACAAAAAACGACGUAAAAUGUUUGAAGGUUAUUUCUUCUUACCUUCUUCUCAAACCCCAAGGAAGGAUCCAUGAUGAUGUCCUUCAUGAAGCGCAUCACGUAAUACCCGCAUUCGACAUUGCUGGGUUGCUUUGGUGUGCCUGACAGAGUUUUCCAAAUGACUGCCUUACGGCCUGAUCUGGCUAUGUGGGAAUUAUAAAUUUUUAUGGCACUGUUCACGAUGUUUUUGGCCUCUUCAUCGACCACACGAUAUCCUGGCAGAGGAUCCAGAAAAUAGACUGUUUCCCUCUUUGCUCUUACAAUCAGCAAGAUCCAAUGACGGCUGCACAAAAUUAAUAUAAAAACGACGGUUAUUUACAAAAACGACGUAUUAUAAUAUUUCACACGACGAAAUAAAGUAGCAAUCGACGACAUUAUAUAUUUAUCACGACGAUAAAUAACUACCGACGUGGUUAGUCGUUUCAAACGACUCAAUAAAAUAAAACACCGACGUGGUUAGUUUAUACGCUGUCAUUUAUUGAAAAUCAUAAAAACAAAAUCCUGUUAAGGAGACUAACCCUGGAUUGUAAGGCAUCAGGAAAAUCUGUUCACCGUCAGUCUUCUGAAGUCGUGAUGCUACCAUUCGUGAUCUGUCAGCUAUUGUGCCAGAGCUGGCACUAACUGUAGCAGGGUCGAUAAAGCCAACCAUUGUGCACAUAUUUGCUUGUUUUAAAACAUCGUGUAAGUACCUAAAUAUAUAAAAUAAUAUAAACAAGUCAGCGCAAAAAAAACACACGACGGUUAUGUAUAACAAAACGACGUAUUAUAAGGUUUCACACGACGUACUGAAAUAGACAACGACGUUAUAAUAAAUUUAUCACGACGGUACAUACUAACGACGUGGUUAGAUAGUUAAGACGACGCAAUAAAUAAACCAACGACGUAUUAUUUUAGAAUGACAAACCUCAUAUAUACAGCAAUGACUGUAGCUCCUAUUUCCUCCAUGCCUGCAAAUUGUGUAAUAUCUUCAGGCAGGAGGAAGGUAUCGCGCUCUAGACCAAAGACCUCCUUAUCAAUUGUAAAGUGCAGGGUCUUAUCCUGAGGCACGAGUGUCGUUUCCACAUAACGACAAAGGGUUUGUAAAGAAGAUGGCGCCUCCAUAUUUGAAUAAUCAACAACUUUAGUAACCUGUUUAAAGAAAUAAAAAAAAUGACGUGGUAAUUCAAUAAAAACGACGGUUUAAGGAAUAAAACGUCGUCUGAAAACAAUUUAAACGACGGUGAAACAACCGUCGUGGUGAAUUAUUUAUUACGUCUUAGAAAACAAUUCCGCCGUCUAAGUUGUAAACAAACGACGGUUUAAAGAAAAAUAUCGACGUCUGGAAUUUUGAAAAACAAAUAAAAAAGGCAAAGUUAUGUGAACAUACCUGGUCGUCAUCUUCUUUCUGCUUUUCAUCUUGUUUUUCUUCUUUAUUCUCUUCAUCUAUGACGUCGGGAAUGAUUAACUCCGUCGUCUAAAAACCACAAAGUUUUAAAAAUAACGACGUUUAAUGGCGUGUAAAACAAGUAAACUAAAUACGACGUGGUAUUGAAAUACAAACGACGGUUUAUUUUUAAAAUCGUCGUGGUAUGUAUUUCAAACGACGGUUUUAUUAAUAAUAACGACGCUAAUGGUUUUUAAAAAAACAGACAAUUCAAAGUUCAGAUAUGUUACCUUUUCUUCCUGAUGUUUCCCAUUUUUGGCAGUAUCAUCCUCAAAAUGCUGGGAUCUCACAUCACCUCCAGAGCAGCUUGCUUUGUCAGGCAUUGGAUUUUUGGGACUUUGGCUAAUUCUGGGUUUAAGCAUGCUUGGAUCAAAAUUGGGAAUUAAUUGGGAAAGCUGACUCAGGAAAUGCUCCCUCUCAGCCUCUACCAAUUGUUUCGUUCUAGCCUCCAUCCUUAAAGCCUCUUCCCUUGCCUUAGCCUCCAUCUUUCUAGUCUCUUCUUGAAGGAGAACUCUUAAACUGUCCUUCAAACGGUCGUCAAAGCUCACUCUCUGUGGUUUGGGUAAAUUGAAAUAUUGCUUUGGUGAGAUCCCAGCACCUACUCCUCUGACUCUGCCUGGAUGCUCGGGGCCCAAAGCCAUGGUCAGCACAUCAUUGCUGCCAGAGACGGUGACUUUGCCUUCCGAGACUUGUUUUUGCAAAUCAUCCUGAAACAAAGAUAUAUAAAAAAGUAAGAACAAAAACACACGACGGUUAUUUAUAUACAAACGACGUAUUAUAUAAUUUCACACGACGCAAUAACAUAUAAAUCGACGUUAUUAUAAUUUAUCACGACGGUAGUUAUAUCGACGUGGUUAGAUUUUUAAAACGACGAAAUUAAUAAACCACCGACGUCUUAUGUAACAGAGGGAUGAUUCAAUACUCACACCUUUAACGACGUUGUUUAAAACAUUUCGACGUAGUAAUUUAAUACAGACGACGCGAAAUUGAACCACCGACAUCUUAUGCUAUAAUUACAGAAAACAGAGUUGUGAUUCCUAUUUAGACCUUUAACGACGUGUUUUAAAAAAUGUCGACGUGGUAAUAUCAUUCACACGACGCAAAAUAUAACAUAAGACGUAAUAAGAAUUAUUCACAGUUUAAUAAAAAUUUAAAACAGAGUGAGUAGGCUUACAAUUAAUUUUGCUUUCUCUGCCACCUUUGGAUCAGGGAUGUUACCAUGUUUGUCCUGUCUAGCUCUCUUCCAUAAGGUAGAUCGAUCAAUUUCUACCCCAGGCAUGGUUUCCUCUAAUUGAUCCUCCAAACCAGCAUAUCCUUUUCGAGACUAUCGAUGAUUGUACUCGAGUUUCUCCCUAAUCUGUGCAUGUUGAGAAUGCACAGACUCAAAAUCUUUGGAUAGCCUUGAAGCUACAAAGGCAUCCCAUUGUGCUUUCUCUAUGAAUUUAUAUGUUUCAGGGGGUUGGCUUAAUCUCUCCCUGUCAUUGGUGUAUGGAAGGAUAUAAUGCCUCAUUAGUGUAGACUUGAAAUCCUUCCAUUUCUUGGCAGCAGAAGCUAAGACAGAGUUCUUGCCCCCUUGACCUACUACAAAAGCAAUGUCAACUGCUUCCCAAAUCUGCUCCUUUAUAUCCUUGGGGAUUUGAGCCCAUUUCAAGUCCACAAGUGGGACUCUGGAGCGUGCCAACACACCAAUAUAGGACUGCAUCUCACUGUGUGCUUGGCCAAUUCCUUUCCCCCUUUUAUUGUACUCAACAAUUGGCCUCAGUUUCUGAAGUUUUCUCUUCACAACACGAGGCAUUGUGCUCAUACCUCGACCAGCCUUUGAAUCAUCAGAGAUUGUUGUCGCGCUGGUUGGUUCUGUAUCAGCAGAUGAUGAAGCAAACUUCAUCUUCUUCGAAGACUUCAUUAUCUUCGAAGACUUCUCUUGAGGAGGUACUUGCUCCUUACCUCCAUUUUUGUUGGAGCCAGAAUCCUUACUUUGGUCUUGGUGAGAAACCAUUUUUACAGACAAAACUGAAAGUGAAAAUAUUUCAAGAAAAGAUUAAGAACACAAACGACGGUUAUUAAUAAAAGACGACGUAUGAUAUGAUUUUAAACGACGCAAUGAAAUAAUAUCAGACGUAAUAAAUGUUUAAAACCAAGGUAAUUAAACAACGACAAAAUAAUUAACUACAAACGACGUAAUAAUUAACUAUAAACGAUGGAAUAUUUAUAUAACGUCGUGGUAUUGAUGUUCACACGACGUCAGUAGUAAUAUACCGUCGUCUAUAUAAGGAUCCAAAACCCUUCUUUCUUUCUCUGUGAAUGUUUGAUUGCAGAUUUGAUUUUUCUGAAUCAUGGUUUUUGUUUUCUAAUUUGAUAAAAUACAAGGCCAAGAAAGAAAGUUUUGGAAUCUUAUAUAGACGACGGUAUUUUAAUAUGACGUCGUGGUAUUAACAUUCACACGACGUAAAACAAUAAGAUACUGUCGUCUAUAUUAGAUACCAACCCUAAUUUCUUUUUCUUUAUAUUUUAUCAAAUUAGGGAAAAACAAAAACCAUUGUUCAGAGAAAUCAAACCUGCAAUUAAACAAGCAAAUAAAAAAAAGACUAUAAUUUUAAAAACAACUUUGUCAAUUUUCAGACGACGCUAGAACGACUGACGAACCGUCGUGGUCUACAUAUUUAACCACGUAAAUAAGAAGCUACCGUCGUCUUAUUUAGUUGAGGUAGUUGUCUUCAAAGUUGGAAACUUUCCCUCUUUGUCUGUAUAUUUAUUCGAACUUGGAAAGAAGUAAAAUGAUUUUGGCCAGAAAAAAGGUAAAAAGAUUUUUCAAACAAAAAACGUAUGAGCAUGCAAAACAGCAACCAAAAUAGUGAAAAUGAAAGCUUACCUUUUGCGUGCAAUGAAAGCAAGAGGAAGACGAUCGAUGUUUAAGUUCAGAGACGACGAAGAAGACGAGAGGAAGACGAUGAGAUACUCUGAAAGUGCUCUGACAAGGAAAAAAGUCUAAAAGUUUUCUCUGGGAGAUUGAAAUUUUUAAUCGGGUUUGGAAACAGUGCAUGUGUAAGACAGGUACACGAAAAGUUGCUUACAUAUAAAACCAUUUCAAAAAAUAAUACGGCGGUUACAUAUAACUACGACGUAUAAAUUACAAAAUACGACAGUACGUUUAACUUCGGACGUGGUAAAUAAGUACGACAGUAGUGUUGUAGGUACCGUCGUAGUAAACUCAAAAAUUAAAGUACAUAAGUAAUAACUCGCGUCAUGGUAGAUCAUUUAACACGUUGGUUUUAUUAAUGUACCGACGUGGAUUUAUGUAAUAUACGUCGGUCAUAACGACGUUGAUUUUAAAAUUUAAACAGCGGUUUUUUUGUAAGGACCGCCGUUGGUUUUAAAAAUUUAUUCUAUAAAUUUGUCGCUUUCAUUCAUUUUCGGUUUACAUUUAGGGUUCCAAGUUCUUCCUCUCUCAGAGACACUGUCUCUCACAUCUCAAAGACAGUAAUUUGGAUGUCUUUCUCAAAGAGAAAUUGAGCUUACUCGCAUCAAAUCUAUGUCCACAAGAAGAAGCUUGUCAACUAGCCUUCUCACUUCCUUGAUCAAGCCUGAUAGGACAUUUAGUGCUUCUGAAUACUCCUUGCUUUCCAUCAAAAGAGAUGCAAGCCUAGCCUCCACUCGCUGUCGAAGGAAAGUUCGCUUCUCAGGGAAAUCUGAAGAUCAGAUGUGCCUGAUCCUCUGCUUGAUUUUCUUGGCUAAGAAGAUCCGUCAGAUUUGUGAUAGCCUCUUCCUUUAUCCGUAGAGCUUCAGAAGAAGAAGAUGGGUUUCAAGAAUGCGAUAAAGAAUAGAAAUGGCUUCAUGAAUGCGAUAAAGCAUGAGCAAUCGAAUCAGUGCUUUGAACUAUACUCUGAACUAUACAAGUCAAUGCUUUGAACUAUACAAGUCCUGCAGAAAGAUAAAGGACCAAACUGUUAAAGAAACUAAAACUAUUAAAGAAACCAUAAACUAACACGACGCAAUAUUUGUUUUGCGACGUGGAAUCUUUUCAUUUAAUGUCGUUAGGUUUAAUAUAACCGACGUGGAUUUGAAUUGUUAAAUUAUGAAUAGAAAUUUUUUUCCCGUGACCUUUCAGUUUAUUUUUCAAUUACAGUGCGUUAUAAAUAGAGUUUUUUUUCCGGAGGAAAUUUAAAAUGAAGGAAAUUAAUGUUCUGGAUUAUGUUAAGUUUCUUUUUUGGAUGACAGAUUUCAAUUCUUGUCAUUAAGUAGAUCUACCGACGUAGGAUAAGAAAAUAAAGGAAAAAAUUGUUAACAAAAAUUCUUAUUAAGACGACGGUUUAAAUUAAAGGUACGACGUAUAAAAUUAAUAAAUACGACGUUAAAUUUUAUAGUACGAUUUAAAGAUAACGUCGUAGAACUAUAUGAGAAUAACGUCGAUAUAUUUAUAUUUUUCGUCGUUGUAAAUUAAUUUAAUACGGCGACAUUUUGUAUUUUAAGGCCGUCGAUUUAUUUGUAAUUAUACGGCGUCUUAUACGAAAAUUUCGUCGUGUUAUUUUAUGAGUAAAAACGGCGGCUUUUAUUGAAAUCGUCGUCUUUACUUUCUACGUCGGUCGAUUCAUAACUUAUGCCGUUCUUUGUUGGCUUUGAUUUUACACUGUGGAAAUCUGUUUCAAAUAGACGUCGGUUUUUUAAUUAGGUACGUCGUUGUUUUUGAACAGCCAUUUGAAUCUCCAUUUUUAGUUGUCUAAGGUGGUAUUACACGACGGUGUUUUUAGAACCGUCGACGGUUUUCACUUAGACCGUCGUUGUUUUCUGGUCGUCUUUUUCACUUUUUGUAGUAGUGUCGGUUUAGUCAGCAUGCUUGACAGUGCCCACGAGUCCCUUGGUACUCGGACUUGUGCGGAGCGAGGAAUGCGGAUCAGGCUGACUUAUGUCCCCUGAAUCCUGCGAGUUUGCGGCUCGAGUUGACCUUAUGUCACCGAGACCUGCGAGAGGAAUUGACGGAUCUCAGGAAUUGACAGACUUGUAACAAGUUUAAAUUUUAACACGAAGGGCAGUUAGGUUAUUUGUGCUCGGCACCUGCCAGGUGUUGAUCACGCACAGGGUUCGGCUCGGAUUCCAAAGUGGAAUUAGAGUCGGGUCCUGUCAUCCAUGAUAUCCCAAAAUGCCGAAAUAAGCCCAUACCCUUUUUAGCAUAUUGCGAAUUUAGCCUUAUUCUAAAUAGACAUCAUUAAACCUUUUUAUUAGGAAACUCACUCUACCCAAGGAGGAAGCUAGUCAGCAAAAACUUUCUAAAAAGGUUUUCUCUGCCAAACUCAAACGUUGGUAUCGAUUUCCAGCUAAAACUCAUCAAUUGAAGGUGUUGAAGAUCUAAUCCAGCAAAGACACAGCCAAUCUAGCCCAGUUCAGAAACAGCUACCCAGGCAGAAAUCGAAGUACAAUGUUCUGUUGUCUUUUUCGAAGUUGUCAUUUCACUUUUUAAGUCCUGUAAUAGGCAGUUCUGCCUAAGCAGUUUGUCUUCUUUUCAUUUAUUCUAGCAAGAACUACCAAUUUUGUACUGUGAAAAAUUAUGAAGUUUGAGGCAAGAAAAGAACUUACUUGGCCGAUAUUCCCUGCCCAAAUUCACAAUUGCUUGUUUACAAGUCAGUAACUUGGGGCACAAGUUAUCUAUGUUUUUAGAAGUUUGCUAAGGUUUUGAACUGCUAGCAGUGGCACGCUCACGCACAAAAGAAAGUUGACUUGUUGACCACCAAUGGUUGUCAAGCCAAUGAGGAACUUUACCCUACCAUCACAAGAUCAAAAUCAAAACGGGUGAACAGUUUCAAUUUAAAGAGCGAAAGCAACCUAGUUGAUUAAAGAACCUUUGAUUCUAAGAUUGGUUAUUAAAUGUGAUAAAAGUAUAAAGUUCUAAAUUUAUCAUAUUUGGAAGUUUUAUGAUCAUAGUUUGCAGAUAUUCACUUUAUCAUAUUUGGAAGUUUUAUGAUCAUAGUCUGCAGAUAUUCUAGCAACGGUUGAGUGAGCCAAAGCAACUCAAUCAUGACUAGUUUUCUGGAUUUAAGGUAUUGAUCAUAAUUGGCAUUAUAGGUGAAGGCGUGUUAAAAACUCUCUGUCCAAAGAUGUGAGUGGUUUGACAUGAAUACAUUUAUAAUGGAACAACAUGAGAGAUGCACUGCAUGAAUUAGCAAGGAAUUUCUUCAGUCCAAAGACGUGGGAGUUUAUUUGUUCAGGAAAUUCGUGUAUGUUCAUGUCCUAGUGUUGAAAACAUGUUUAAUCCUCUACCCAAAGGUGUGAAUUAAUCAUUUGAUUGAGGAUAUGGGGACAGAUUGAUCGUAUGAUAUAUUUUGGAAGAUUUCAGUUAUGUCACAAUGAACCUUAACUCCAUUGGCAUACAAUUUUGUUUUUGUUAUACAUAUUGUAACAUAUUUAAGUCGUUGAUGGUAAUUUAAUAUUGGUGAUCUUGAAUACUCAAGAAUAAAGACAAACUUGUCUGUUUUGGAUUAUUUUGUAACUCGAUUUUUGCUGACAGAUUCUUCAUUAUAAGUAAAGAUUAUUGAAUGACUCAGCUAAAAUUUGUUAAAUGACCUGAUUUUUGGAUAUGUUGUAGAUAUACGUGUUUUAUUAAAUACUGUAAAAUUUCAUAAUUAUUGGAUUACAGUUUAUUUAUGAGAAUUUUAUAAGUGAUAUGUGUUCAGGAAAAAGAAUGUGCUGGCAGUUUUUCUGAGUAACCUUGUAAGUCAAUUUCCAGAUUUUUUUCAGUUAGGUUAAACAACUCUAUAUUUUUUCUAUAUAAAGUUUUUUUUUUGGUGCAUACUUAAGUAGUGAGUGUUUGCCCAAGUGGGAGAAUUGAUGUAAGGUUUUGGGCUUCACACUCAUUAUCUUGGUUUUAUAAUUAUAUAAACUCAUAAAUUUUUGAGCAUAUGUAGAUGUUUAUUUCUUGUUACAUGGCAAAAUGAAGUUCUACACUAUUAAGUACUACGUAUGGGAUCAACACAUCAAAAUGAAGUUCUACACUAUUAUUUUUCUGACCAAUAUUUUGGAUGACUGGCUGUUUAUUUUUGGGAUCUAAAAUAUUCUUACCAUGCUUACUGUUUUCUACUUGUGUUGGUUAAAGAAAAUUGAAUUGGUGUUUAAGAUACAAGUGGAAUAAAGUUGAAUGCUUCCAUUACAAUUUUUGUUUUUCUCAUCUACGUGCAACUUACAUGUAAAGUUUGUUUGAGAAAGAACUGAAUAAAUUAAAUUUGAGUUCUAACUCUAAGGAUUGGAUUGCGAUAAAGUUUUAUAAUGUAUUAAUUCAUUUUAUACGAUAUUGAUCCCUUUUUGUAAAAUGCAAAAUAUAUAUAUAUAUUUUUAAAUAAAUCAAAGGAUUAUAAGCGAGAUUAGCUUUUCAGUAUCGGUCAUCAGAUGCACAAACAUCUACACCCUCAAAGAGGGGACCAAUACUUCAGAAGCCCCCUGCCCGUCCCCUUGAUCAUAAUUUAUUAAUAAGAAACAAAAAAAAGAUACAAGAACAACAGGGGGGGACCGAACCAAACCCUACAGAAGAGAAAGACAAGGACAGAAAUGCACAACAACAUGUUGACCUAAGAGACCAAAACUCUGAAAGAGUAAACAAAAGAAACUAGAACCGGUAAUUAGGCAUGUCCAGCCAGUCUCGCUGACAAAAAGGCAAAAUAAAAGAAGUGCAGUAUCCCACCAAAUUAAACCAGAGCCCAAAGCACCAUGAUUUACCAAAGCAUCAACAUCUUGAUUACCCUCACGAAAGAUAUGAGAAAUUUGAAAUGACAUGUGUUGGAGGCGAUGCAAGCAAUUUUUCCAAUCAACUCGUAGAAGCCAAUGCAAAAUAUAUGUUUUGAUGAGUGAAAGCAUUGGCACAUCACCCCUUCUCCGUUGGUCGAUGUGGGAUGUUACAAUCCACCUUUCUUAAGGGCCUGACAUCCUCGUCGGCACACUCGCACCGCACGGCAGAGUGGCUUUGAUACCAUUAUAUCACACCCCGGAUCGGCUCUAUCGUAGCACGAUAUUGUCCGCUUUGGGCCUCCCUCUCUGUCAUCACGAUUUUGUUUUUGGGAACUCACGAGCAACUUCCCAAUAGGUCACCUAUCCUGGUAUUGCUCUAGCUCAAACUUGCUUAACUUCGGAGUUCCCAUGACUCCGAAGCCAGUGAACUCCUAAAAGGCCUCAUGCUAGAUAUGGAGAUGAGCAUGUACAUAUAAGGCACAUCACUCUCAACACUUUAUAUCUCUCCUCCUUGUUUCUCUCUCCUCUUUCUCUUUAGUUUCCGGAAACAAAGGUCUUUUCAGCCUUCGGAGAGAUUCAUUCCCCACACUUCAAAAAUUCUCUGAUUUCAUGUAACUUGGGACACGCAAUGCAGCCAAAUAUCCUUUCUGAUCAACAUUAAUUAUAUUAUUCUCAUAACUAGAAAAUAAAAAAUACUCACAAGAUACUAGAUAUAGUACAACUUCAACUUUAUUGCACACAUACUUCCUAUUCCACUCCAAUACUUCCAGAAGUACACCUAUCUUCAUGCUUAAUUUACAAUACCAACAAUACCAUUUGUAUUAUGCUGCUACCACUACAGAUUCCCUCCUUGCACGGACAGAGAGGACGGAUUGACCAAUACUUGCAUGCUUCGCUUAUUGAGAGACAUUGCCAAAAGAGUUGUAAUAGUCUUCACUUUCUCUGUGGCCUUGAUGAUAACCAAGAACAAAAAUCGAUACAGAAGAAUCAUCCCUACCAAGAUUGCAAGAUCAACCCACUCAGAGUAACCCAUUUCGACUUGCCAUAUAUCUCUCAGAAUAUGUUCCCCACCGAGACUGGAUGUUUUUCCUCCUUGAUCACUGCUAGGAAAUGUUGUGCCUAUGAAUUCAUUUUUAAACAGUCCUUGAUAUGCAUACUUGUGGAACGCAAUGUAGUAUAAUGGGAACUUCCACAGAGGCUUGGGAAUAUCAUUUGGUAGUCGGAAGAAGCCGCCACACAUCAGCAUAAGCCCUUGAAUUCCAGCUCCGGCUAUUAUUCCCAUGAGGAAGUUGGGAACAAUGCUAGCAACUAUCAUCAUCAGGCUCUCAACCAGCAUCAUGCAAGCAAAUAACACACAAGCAAAGUAGACGAAGUGUUCAAAUCCUUUGUGAAGUCCCGCGACGUAAUAAGUUAUGGUGCCAGGAAUCACUGAAAUCAAUAUCAAGAAGGGAACAGAGGAAAAUGUGUUGGCAAAAACGAAUGCAGAAACACCAUAGUGCCCGUUUAAUCUUUCUCGUUCAAAUACCUGAGUUUACAAGAGAAAAACUAUGUUUAGCAACAUUAAUAUAUACGGCACUUAUGAUGUAAACUACAGAAGUGCAAAGCUUAGCAUAUCCAACCCUAUUCCAAAUUAGUUUACCUUCAUAUCUUCCACAAAAGAAGGGAAUCCACCGAUAGCCAUAAAAGUUAGAAAUGAAGAUACAAACAUGAGCAGCGAGCCUCUUGCCUGGAACAAUAGAAAUCUAAUAAGUUUUAUAUCAAUAUAUCCAACACUAUAAGACAGCUCUCGAACAAUUUCCUAUAUAGUGUUCUCUUGUCAAGCAAGUUAGGCUUAGAAAACUGUCAAUAUGAAUCACAUAUGACGUAAUACAUACACAGAACUCUUAAUGAUCAAUGCCUAAGUUUGAGAGAGUGUGAUGAUAUAUAACAUGUUAUCUUGUGAAUUAGAUGUAGAAAUUAUCAAGUUGAUUGUUGCAUAAAUGUUUCGUCCAUAUUAAAUUUGGCAACAUAAGCAUCUUAUGUACAAAACAAAUCACCUGAAUUGAUUCAUAACUAUGUCCAAGAUCUUGAUAGAUAGUGCCCAAGCCUAAGGCCAUGGUAAUGUAUACAGCCAGGCGCAACCAGUAGUAGCCUCGAUCUCGAUACAUGUUCAUGAAGGAUCUUCUUGUAAGUACGAAAGAUUGUGUAAGAAAUCCAGCAUGGCUUCUCUUCUCCAAUUCUUCACCGAAAUCCU
RNAcentral lists this long non-coding RNA (29691 nucleotides) under Prunus persica (peach). RNAcentral's name for it is "long non-coding RNA (PPER_LNC008195)". Lineage: Eukaryota; Viridiplantae; Streptophyta; Magnoliopsida; Rosales; Rosaceae. The record is from RNAcentral.